AACGAACGCUGGCGGCAUGCCUAACACAUGCAAGUCGAACGAGACCUUCGGGUCUAGUGGCGCACGGGUGCGUAACGCGUGGGAACCUGCCCUUAGGUUCGGAAUAACUCCCCGAAAGGGGUGCUAAUACCGGAUAAUGUCUUCGGACCAAAGAUUUAUCGCCUUUGGAUGGGCCCGAGUCGGAUUAGCUAGUUGGGAGGGUAAAAGCCUACCAAGGCGACGAUCCAUAGCUGGUCUGAGAGGAUGAUCAGCCACACUGGGACUGAGACGCGGCCCAGAAUCCUACGGGAGGCAGGAGUGGGGAAUAUUGGAAAAUGGGGGAAAGCAUGAUCCAGCAAUGCCGGGUGAGUGAUGAAGGCCUUAGGGUUGUAAAGCUCUUUUACCCGGGAUGAUAAUGACAGUACCGGGAGAAUAAGCUCCGGCUAACUCCGUG
Molecule: ribosomal RNA, 433 nt
Filed under: uncultured bacterium
Lineage: Bacteria
Description: partial 16S ribosomal RNA
Rfam family: Bacterial small subunit ribosomal RNA
Source: RNAcentral